Long non-coding RNA from Papaver somniferum (opium poppy), 4871 nucleotides. RefSeq lists it as uncharacterized. The transcript has 6 exons. NCBI's taxonomy places the organism in Eukaryota, Viridiplantae, Streptophyta, Magnoliopsida, Ranunculales, Papaveraceae. The record is from RefSeq and is a predicted model, not a curated record.
CUGAUUGGGUUUGACUUGGACGGCCUGGAAAAUUUCAGGUCCGGGAUGGGAAUGUAGGUGAAAGAAAUAAGUUCCUGGACCCGAUCCCUCUCACACAACCAAUUUUUCUUACCCUGUUCAUCUUUCCGAUCCGUCUUCUCUUCCCAACCUCUACAAACACAGAAGAAAAUCAUCUGGCAGGUUGAUUUAAUCUUCCACAGAUUCAAUUUUCUGGAACAUCUUUUCAUACAUUAACAGGUCCACCACCACCAGCAGAAUCUACACCUUCAUCUACUUCUCCUUAUCCAUUCAGUAUCUUCAUCUUCUUUUUGUUGAUUUCAGUUGAGCUUUAAGGAAUUUGCUAGGUUCACUUUUGGUGGUUGAAUGAGAGGCUGGGUUGUGAAGUAUAGGGAAUAGCUUUUAGAAAAAUGGUGCAGCAUCUCAAUACAGGCUUGGGUCAGUGCAUUUAAAAGUAUUCAUGAGACUUUGCUGUAAUCAAAUGAUUACCAAAUAUUAAUCCUGCUCCUAGCUAACACGGCACCAGACAGAAAAAAAAGAGGCUGACAAUGCAUCAACCAGAGCGAUGGCAUACUGUUACUGGGAAGGGCAUGUGUGCUCUCAUGUGGUAACUUCCCUUAUAGAUAUUUGGUUCUUCUAGAGACCUUAUCUAUUUUGUGAUUUGUUUUUGUAAUUUCAGCGAUGUGUAAGUUGUAUUAGAGAAGAGCGCAACUAUGGAUGAACUUCUGUCACGAUGGUUAGGUGGUCUACGUGGUGCUCUGAUCUGUGUGCAUUCAACUCCUUUAUCAGGACUUCUCAAUUCUAUCAGGACUUAUAUCUAUCUUAUCAGGUCUACUAUUAUGCAUUCAACGCCUUUUUGAUACAUGUGCUCUGCGUUGUCCUCUGAUUACUAGAUAGGCAAUCCGCCUGAUAUGUGUGAUCUACGUGGUUCUCUAAUCGGAUUAGUUAUCCAUAUGGUAGAGCUCUGAAAGAAGUGCUUUCGGUGUUUAUUAAUAUCCCAUUGACUGGUGAAUGUUGAAACAUGGGCAAUUCGCAAGUGUAAACUUUUGGUUCAUCUGUUUGUAAAUCUUAUUGAUGUUUUAUUAUUCUGCAAAGCGGUCAUAUUAAAUUCGCUAUUUCAUUUUUUCAAGUCAAGUCCAUUCCACAAAGUUAACGUUCCAUGGUGGUUAGCUGUAGGAAUUUCAGUUUCUCAUUGCGGAAUGCACAUGUACAUGUUGUGGUUUUGUAUGGUUAAUGCAAGUCAGGAUUGGUGUAGAUGAAGCUGUUUCACCUUUCCCUAGCUUUAUAAGGUGAAUUAAUGGGAAGAGCAGAUGUACCAUUUGAUUACAAUUGACUGGGUUAAUAUUCGUGCUCACAGAGCUUCCAGAAAGAUGAGUGGUAACCUGUGCACACUCUCAUCGCGAUAGUAGUAGUCAUGGACAUGGACUUCUUCAAUUCGGAUACAUUGAGUGUUUGUGUAACCUUCUUCAAUUUGUGCAUUUAAUUUUACUUUUGAGGUCUUUGUUGCUCUAUGGGAUAAAUAAGAUUGUUAGACCACAUCAGAAACUUUUGUCAAAGGUUUGGGUGCGUAUAGGUAAAUUACUAUUAUUUUUGGACAGGGAUUUGAAACUGAGAUCCUUUAACAAUUUUUGUUACCCAUAAUUGAGGCUACGACUUAUAAGACUGAAAAUUAAUGAAUGGAAUUUUAUGAUGGAUAUUCAGUUUGGUUAAGUAAUUCUCAUUAAAACAAGAACUCUGAUGCAAUUCCUGGCCUUUACAUUUCUUAACUAGCAUUAUUUUCAGCGGCGUUAAUUAUGGUUUUUGAUGUCGUCCAAUUCUUAUCAUUUUGAUGGCAGGACCAUCAAAUGGUAUUGGCGCUGAGACUGCACGCGUACUUGCAAUACAUGGAGUUCAAGUAGUUAUCGCAAAGUUCUGUUGUCGCUCCUUGAUUGCUGUCAAUGACAUUGGAGAUUCAAUCCGUGCAGUUGGUUAGUAAUUUAGAAUAGGCAUAGCUGAACAUAUUUUACAGUCGGUAAAUUUCUGAGGUGAGUAGUACAUUAUUCAUCUUCUUCUUGAAAUACUAUUCAGUUUAUCAAUUUGUUCACCAUUGAUUAUAAAACCAUGGUAAGUGACAAGAUAAAAAUAUUGCUCACAUUAGACAAACGAAGCAAUGUUGGACAAAAUGUCUACAAUUGUCACCUGACGAGUCCGAUUUGGGUUCAUCUCCUAAUUACUUUUUCUUCUGUAGUAAAGGUGGAUAAGGUGUAUUUUGAAUAGAUGUUAGUAUAUAUGAAAAAAAUCUUCUCUUAACCUAUAACCUAUAAUUAUACCUCCAUACCUAAUUUUGCACCGAUCUUUAGCCUGCAACAACAAUAUAUGUUUCACCUAUAAUUUGUUCUAAUGGGGGAAUUGAUCAAAUCUUUUCCGUGGAGGGUAAACUGGAGCAUACUUGAACAAAGCACAGUUCAUAUCCCUUUCCCAUUCAAAGAUAAAUAAAGUUUAUAAGACAGUUCAAAAUCAUUAAUUGCAAUAUUAUUGUCUUCUUAUUUACUUUUAUAAUUUUGUUCUAAAGAUUCUGAUUUGCUCUGUUUACACUUUCUGUAUGCAUUGGAAAUCCGCAAGGGGAAUCCAAAUACUACCUACAUUUAGGGAGUCGUUUAAUCUUUAUUCUCCCAUGGUCGUAGGAAUCAUCCUAGAUUCUUUGCCUUUGUCUUUAUGCUGCAGGAUGUCAUGCAUCAUCAGAUCAGGACCAUGUAGAUAGGUAUUAAUUAUGUCAGUUGAUUAUUUGGUUUUCAUUAACAUGGUUUCACUCGAAAAUGGUUCUUUGCUUUCACGUUUUUCCUUGACUAAUUGAUUUGGGCCAGUUGGCCCUAUACACAAUUCAUUCUUUAUGAUGUUUUUCAUGCGUACCUAUCAUAUUGGCGUGGGUAUGAUUCUCUAGAUAUAUAACCAUGCUAAUGUCAUCGUUCUUUGACAUGUUCUUUCAUCAAAGGACAUCAACUCUGUCUGCCACACGUAUAAAAAAACUUAAAAAUUGUUAAUGAUCUUCAAGUACGUGGACUUUGUAAGAAGCGUCUGCAGGCAUCAAACCAUUUCCAAUUAUUAUGCAUAUAUUUUGACUGACAAAAAGUUGCUUACGUUUGGCUUAUUUUAUAUUUAUGUAGUUUGGUACUAGAUCUGAAAGUCUAUAUUAAUGGCAGAAUGGUUGGAAAUGUAUGAAGCUAAUGGUUUGUGCAAACUAACUGUUAUGACCAAAGAGUGAGGGUAACAAACACGAGAACGAGAUAUAGGAUUUUCAUUCCUACCUAACUUUGAUGGAAGUUAUAUGUGCAUUUUUUAGAGGUAUGUCAACAUAUCCAUAUGCUUAUGUUUCACGACUAUAGUGUUAGCACCAUUUUUUUCUGAUUAGUACAGUAGUGGUUCGUCAGUUUGGUUGUACAUAAUAACAUGAAUUGUGAUGACUUAGAAUAGAAAACCCUCCCAUAUUUCAUAACUCCCCAUACUAUUGAUUGUCGUCUUAGCUCAGUUGGUAGAGCGCCUGGCAUUCUGCCACGAGGGUGUGGGUUCGAUUCUCACAGACGAAAAUAUUGGGGCAAUGAUGACCAGUAGAUGGAAUCAUCAAGAAAAUAAGUAAGGGAGAAUGAUGAUUUAGGAUUACAAUGGGGUUUUUUAGAGUAAUGGGUUCUCGAUAAAGUAGAAUGUUGUUGUAGCACUUGAUUAGUCACAGUGUGGCCUGUUGAUGAAAAAUAGGACUUAAGAGUGUAGGGUGGAAAGUGUACUGGAAUGGGUGACAUGGUGAUUUGGGUACCGGGAAGUUUGUUAAUAAUCUUGCAGUGAUUAUAGGCAGAAAUUGUUAAUUUUGUUGUUUGGAAAACAGAAAAUGGAAGCAAAUAAAUUGGAUUGGUUAAGAAAAGUAGGGAAACAGCCUUUCAGAUUUGGAUAUAAUGCGCAUUAUACGACUAAAAAUUUAUAAAAAAUGUGCAACUGGCACCGCAUUGGGAAAAAUAAGGGGAAAUUUUGUAAGAAAGUCUAAUUAGACUAUUCAUAUUUACCCAAGAAAACAUGCGAUUCGUCCAAGGUCUGAAUGGUUCUCUGCCAGAAAGGUUGGUUUUUGUUUUCAUUAGGGUUUGCCUUUUUUCUUAAUUUUCCUAUUUAAAUUUAGGGGAUUUUCUUGGGGGAUUGAUUGGAACUGGACUUGAGUUGAUUAUACUGGAAAUGCAUCUUCCAAAUCUUUUUCUACCAUGAUUAGAAAGAAAAUUUUGCCUAAGUACAACUCUUUGUGGUUAUGAUAAAACUCAACAAUGAGCAUCCAAGCAUCUAUUCUGAACAUGAGUUGUUAUUCAUCUUUUACGUUUUUUGGGUCCAACAUUUUAUUUUAUUUGACAGUUUAAACAGCAGUGCAGCUCAUGAAUGCAGAAUGGAGACUCAGUCCGUUUCUUGAUGAGAUGGGCAGGUAAUUAAUCGUUGAUGAAGGCUUCCUGAUAACUAUUACCUCUAUUUUGGCAUUCAGUUUUUGGUUGAUUCAGGGUUAUGCUGAAUUAGCUAUGUUGUUCGAUGAUCUAUGAAUAUUGUGUUUUUAAUUUCAGUUUUCUUGAGUCUGAUUAAUUUGAAUUUAUGAUUUUUGAAUUAAGUCUUGGACGAGGUGCUCAUGGAAUUAGUUUAAUCUCACAAAACUGAAACUCAAGGCUGUCAUGAAUGGUGCUACUUCUCUUUCUCCUGAUCUAAUUUCUGCCUUUGAAGCCAAAUUUGAAAUUUCAUGAUGUACAAGUCAAAGAGGUACUUUGGCGAGGAUUCUAAACUGGGAUUGGUCUCCAGAUAAUCAUUCUUUUAGUCAUGUUCUGUUGACAGCUAGGACAAAGAGGUGCAAUUAUCAAAAGAGAGUCAAGUGAUGCAGG